This is a long non-coding RNA of Neopsephotus bourkii (Bourke's parrot), 1821 nucleotides long. RefSeq lists it as uncharacterized. The transcript is spliced from 5 exons. The record is from RefSeq and is a predicted model, not a curated record. NCBI's taxonomy places the organism in Eukaryota, Metazoa, Chordata, Aves, Psittaciformes, Psittacidae.
UAAUUAAAUUACUUCUUUUUACUGUAUUUUUUAUUAAAUAUCACGCAUAUAUGACAUUGUUAGGAAAACAAAAUUCCCCAUUUAUUUCAGAAUUCAGGCCCAAGUUGUUCAACCCCACAGGCUGCAUUACAGUUGCCUCACAGGUCUGAGCUCUCUCUGGACAAAGCUUAGUGUGUGGACACACCAAGUCACUGCAGCCUGAGUUGUACAUGUGGUUCUGGUGGAUCCUCUAAGAUUAAGGCAGCAGCCUGGAUGAACACAAACUGUGGACUAGGUCCAGCAUAGCAGCCUGUUACUAGGCUCCUUCAUGGUACACGUCAGCUGCCAUAGUCACCUGCAGCCAUUUGCAGUUCAGUAUCAUUUGUAUGUUUCAUUGGCACAUUAUUUCUUCUCUGUCUCUAGCUGCUGAAUAGGCUGGAUCAAACACUAAUGCCUUUGGUAACCAAUUCAACAAGUUCCUGGUGCACAAUAGACUAUUGUUUGUAAUAUCAGAGCCUUUGCUCACAAUCUGUCAGCCUAGUUUCAACCCACAUAGCAAUGUCAUUAAACAAGACAGAAGUUUUGGUACAAAGAAGCGUAGAAGUGUAAGAAUAAAACACUUCCUCGCUGUAAGAGCUGCUUUGUAGCAAACUGAUAAUGCCACUGAAAAGCAUUUUUUGGUGUCCAAGAUAAAAUAAUAAACAUCCCAACCUUAAUCUCAUAAGCAAAGCUAACAAUUUUACAUACUGCCUUCAAACUGCUGUAAUCAUGGGAAAUAGCUUUAUUCUAAUUGUGAGAAUUAUAUUCCAAUAUGACAAGUUACACAGUGAAGUGCAUUAGAAACUACAAAACCGGAGUUAAACCAUUGUUUAUGCUAUAGCCGUUACACCAUUUUAACAUUUUAACACUGAAAAUAAACAUUUUAUUUUCUAAAUGGCUUUUAUUUUUAAUAGCUCUAUAAGAUUCCUUCUGAUUUCUCUUUUCUUUUUGUUAAAUGUAUGGCAAGAGAGAAGACUGUAAUGAAUGGUUAGACAGUAAGUUUCUCCUGUGUUACAGGAAUCUCUAUAAUUACACAAUACAAACCCUCUGCUCUGCAGUACUUGAGGUGGACAGUUCCUGUGCUGAAAUGAUAUUAAAUUUAAGAGAAAGCCAGAUAGCACCAGAUGAAAGUAAAAAGGCAUUUUGAAAGAUGUAAUAAAAUCCUCAGCCUUGGACAGUUAUGGAAAGAGAGACAGCACAUCACUCUCUAUUCAGGGAUCAUCUGACUACCAACAGGAAUCCAAGCCAUCAACAUAUUAUUUUACUCCUCAUGUUAACAGAGAGUGAGGAUUUCAUCUAUAAAAGAUGCCUAAAACAUGAGGAGAGUGAAGGGCAAGGAGAGAGCAAGCAGUCACUCUUACUGACCUCUGGCUCACUGAAAACCAGAACAUUUUCCCAAAUGCCACAUAAUUAUUAAUUCAUAGGAAGUUUCACAAGCAUAUGAUCUGACCCACAGACAACAGAAAUUGUUGUUUUGCAAAGAUUUUUCCAUUGAUUUUGGCCCUGGACCAUGCAUUGAAGAUUUGGCAUCUGGAACAGAUCCCCUUGCUUGAGAAAAGAUUUAAAAUGCACAGCUGAAGUUUCUGAUGUGAAGCAAGGAAAAGAAAUAUUGUUCUCCCAGUUACUACUGCCUAAGCUAUGUCCUGAGAAAAUGAGCAGCACCACAUGUUGCAAGUCACACAGUAACAGAGAAAGCAGCAGCGCACUUCUGUGCACGCAGCCAACAUCCCUCUGAGUGCAGGACAUGGUACAAAUGUCUCAAAUAUAUUUUCUCUGCUUCAUCCCCUUUCCUUCUGUUCCCUC